UAAUACGUAGGGGCCGAGCGUUGUCCGGAGUUAUUGGGCGUAAAGCGCGCGCAGGCGGCUUCGCGCGUCCGACGUGAAAGCCCCCGGCUUAACCGGGGAGGGUCGUUGGGUACGGCGGAGCUUGAGGGCGGGAGAGGGUGGUGGAAUUCCCGGUGUAGUGGUGAAAUGCGUAGAGAUCGGGAGGAACACCUGUGGCGAAGGCGGCCACCUGGGCCGACCCUGACGCUGAGGCGCGAAGGCGUGGGGAGCGAACGGGAUUAGAUACCCCGGUAGUCCACGCAGUAAACGAUGCAGACUAGGCGUAGGUGGACUUGACCCCAUCUGUGCCGGAGCUAACGCGGUAAGUCUGCCGCCUGGGGAGUACGGCCGCAAGGCUA
RNAcentral lists this ribosomal RNA (377 nucleotides) under uncultured bacterium. RNAcentral describes it as "bacterial SSU rRNA". It matches the Rfam family "Bacterial small subunit ribosomal RNA", at positions 521 to 896 of the family's 1533-position model. The record is from RNAcentral.